This 588-nucleotide ribosomal RNA is filed under the name Trichoderma orientale. RNAcentral's name for it is "eukaryotic LSU rRNA". It matches the Rfam family "Eukaryotic large subunit ribosomal RNA", at positions 102 to 713 of the family's 3401-position model. Lineage: Eukaryota; Fungi; Ascomycota; Sordariomycetes; Hypocreales; Hypocreaceae. The record is from RNAcentral.
CAACAGCUCAAAUUUGAAAUCUGGCCCUUACGGGUCCGARUUGUAAUUUGUAGAGGAUGCUUUUGGCAAGGCGCCGCCCGAAUUCCCUGGAACGGGACGCCACAGAGGGUGAGAGCCCCGUCUGGCUGGCCGCCGAGCCUCUGUAAAGCUCCUUCGACGAGUCGAGUAGUUUGGGAAUGCUGCUCAAAAUGGGAGGUAUAUGUCUUCUAAAGCUAAAUAUUGGCCAGAGACCGAUAGCGCACAAGUAGAGUGAUCGAAAGAUGAAAAGCACCUUGAAAAGAGGGUUAAAUAGUACGUGAAAUUGUUGAAAGGGAAGCGCUUGUVACCAGACUUGGGCGCGGCGAAUCAUCCGGGGUUCUCCCCGGUGCACUUCGCCGCGUCCAGGCCAGCAUCAGUUCGACGCGGGGGAAAAAGGCUUCGGGAAUGUGGCUCCCUCGGGAGUGUUAUAGCCCGUUGCGUAAUACCCUGCGUCGGACUGAGGACCGCGCAUCUGCAAGGAUGCUGGCGUAAUGGUCACCAGCGACCCGUCUUGAAACACGGACCAAGGAGUCGUCUUCGUAUGCRAGURUUCGGGUGUCAAACCCCUAC